GGUCGGCUGGUGUAAAUGGUUAUCACGUCAGUCUAACAGUCCUUCUGGGAUUUGAACACUGAAGGUACUCGGAUCGAUCCCGGGGCCGAUCA
Non-coding RNA from Athelia sp. TMB, 92 nucleotides. Lineage: Eukaryota; Fungi; Basidiomycota; Agaricomycetes; Atheliales; Atheliaceae. The record is from the annotation of a GenBank genome assembly.